This 1485-nucleotide long non-coding RNA is filed under the name Heterocephalus glaber (naked mole-rat). RNAcentral describes it as "lncRNA (ENSHGLG00000045994.1)". Lineage: Eukaryota; Metazoa; Chordata; Mammalia; Rodentia; Bathyergidae. The record is from RNAcentral.
GGUAGUUUUCAUACCUCGUUGCCUGAUUUUUACUGCGCAAGGGGUCUGCCGGGCAAGGCAUUCAUAUCUGAAAGCUGGAGUGCUUAUUAAUGAAGAAUGACUUCCAUUGAAGCCCAGGGUAGGCGUGUUAUGAAUCUGGCGCAUCCAGAAGCACAGGAAAUAACUCCCGCUGCGAGUGCGGUUGCAUAACUAUAGCGCAGGAGAUGCCUCUGUGCCCGAACUGCUUCAGAGGGAGGCGGAACUGUACUGAAUAGGCAGCUGUCACGUUUGCAUUGGUAGAGGACAAAUACGUAUUCAUCUCAACAGAUUUUUGCCCAGAAACCUGACGUUUCGGGUUGGAGCCUAGGGUCUGUCUGACGGAGGACUCGGAGCUCCCGGCUUUGCAAAUUCUCUUUAUCUAGAAACCCAGUCUGGGGCCUGGGGCCAGAAUCCCAAGCUCUGCCAAGUUCGUGAACAUCUUCCCAGGCGUCAGUCUGACUGGGGGAAAUUCUUUUCACGUCUCAGGUUUGUCUGACCUGAGAAUGAAGGUUGCUGCUCCAGCCACCUGGAGGAGUAGAAUGGUUCCAGAAGAAGAAGAAAGAGAACUUCCCCCACUCCUGCCAUCUGCUUAAGCUCGGAUUGUUCGCCGGAGGAACAUGCACGCUACUGUUAACAUUUUCUGUAUACACAGUAGUGCUUGAUGUUUGAAGAAUGAACGAAGGAGCGAAACCAAUCAUUGACCCCCCCCCCCCAGUCCCCUUAAUUUCUGAGGUUUGUUUAUGUAACUGGCUUCCCGCCUCAGCAGGUCCCAACUGAGAGCAAAGAAAGCGGACUGUUCCUGACGAGAAAUGUUUUAUCAGGUAAUUGGCACUGAAAGAACAAAAAAGAAAACAAAAAAGUGUCUCCUUCUGGGAAAGAAGUAGGGAAGUCUACUAAGGAAGAAAGAGACUCCAUAUCAAAAUGUCAUUUCCAAUGUUACGUCUAAGCCAGUUGCAUGACUCUUACAACUCCUAUGUGGAGGGUCUGAAAAAUGGAGUGGAGGAAGGAUUUUAAAGAGGAUUUAUCGGCAAGGAGCCGUGCUGUGAGUCUAUCUUUCUCCAUGGGGAGAGGAUGAUGAACGCAAUCCUAAGCCUAGCACAAGGGACUUACAGACAACACUCACUGAAUUUGUUAUGAAAUUAGCAUAUCGAGGAGACCAGUGUUUGGCUCUUGUCUGAGGAAUCAAACAAGCAUGAGAUCUGCUGCCUUGCUUUAGGUGGAUGGACUGCAGGAGGAUGCAUGACUCAUCAUCAAGGGAAUUUCAGAUGAGAAGUCUUCUAAUGGAGCUCUUUCUAAGAAUCCACAAAAUAGGUCUUGAGAGUGUCAUAAGAGAGUAUGGGACUGUUUUGUGACAGAACUACAUAGCCAACGAUUUUCCUGCCCUGUCCCAACUGUCUCCUCAACACUCAUUGACUUUGGAGAAAAGCAUCAGAACCAGUUUAGAAAGAUGGAGAAGGGGCAGUCCAA